Molecule: long non-coding RNA, 812 nt
Filed under: Coturnix japonica (Japanese quail)
Lineage: Eukaryota; Metazoa; Chordata; Aves; Galliformes; Phasianidae
Description: lncRNA (ENSCJPG00005013241.1)
Source: RNAcentral
GCUACAAGCAGUAUCCAAGUCAGUUCAGUCCAUGCAAGGAAACAAAGGUAGAGGCUAUGACUUCAUGUUCUUCACUGUCCAGAUGUAAAAGCAGGUACGUCUACAACAGACUAUAAGUGCUCAGUCUACGUACAGACUUGGAAUCAGCCUUGUGGUAUGGGACAGGAGAAAAAAAAAAACUAUUCAUUAUUUGUAAAAAUUCUUACUUAAAAUAAUUGUGACAUUUUCUGUUAAAGCCAAUGAUUUGCCUUUUCACAGUAUCACAGUAUCACAGUCUCGUGCGGGUUGGAAGGGACCUUAGAGAUCAUCGAGUCCAGCCCCCAGGAUUCGAGCCUCCUGUGUAGCAGAGCGGCACUUCUACCACUGGCGCCACAGGGGGGAUUUGAAUCCGAGCCCUCCGGUGUUGCAAUGCGGCAUUCCUACCACUGCGCCACCAGGUUUUGUUUUGUUUUGUUUUGUUUAUUCCCAAGGGCAUCAAGAAAAGGCAAGUGGUCCAGAGAGUUCAGCCGGCCUAUCCAAUGAGUGAUGACAUUUAGCAAGCUCUUUCUGGAUGAAAAACUAAAACCCCACGUCUGUAAGGUGCCUCACAUUGUCAGGCUUCUCCCGGGACCAGGAAAAGGAAUGGACAUAUUAGAAGAAUCAGACAGCUGUGAGUACAGAAUCUAUUGUAUAGUUAGAAUCAAAUUAUUAUGGGUCUGAUUCUGUCACAUGCUCAGAAUCUACAGGUUUUACUUAUCAGGAAUCAAGAGCCCCCUGCAUCCCACAGAUACAGGCUGUAGCAAAAUAUGAAUUAAUCCAGGCUGUUGCUAUCA